RNAcentral lists this ribosomal RNA (208 nucleotides) under uncultured bacterium. Its description in RNAcentral is "partial 16S ribosomal RNA". It matches the Rfam family "Bacterial small subunit ribosomal RNA", at positions 524 to 731 of the family's 1533-position model. The record is from RNAcentral.
UACGAAGGGGCUAGCGUUGCUCGGAAUCACUGGGCGUAAAGGGUGCGUAGGCGGGUCUUUUAAGUCAGAGGUGAAAGCCUGGAGCUCAACUCCAGAACUGCCUUUGAUACUGAGGAUCUCGAGUUCGGGAGAGGUGAGUGGAACUGCGAGUGUAGAGGUGAAAUUCGUAGAUAUUCGCAAGAACACCAGUGGCGAAGGCGCUCGACUG